AAUUCCCCACAGGGGGGUAGGGCAGGCAGGCUUUGGCCACAGGGCUUUGGGCUCCGUCCACACAGUGGCAGGCUCUGGUUCCAGGCUCCGGCCCCAGGCUCACCACCCCUGCCAUCGUCCCUGGGCCCCGCUGCCCUUCUGCCCACCUCCUCAUCCAGGGUUUAAUUUGUCCCAGGGCUUGCUGGGGCUGAGUAAACUGUCUGCUGUGGU
Non-coding RNA from Chelonoidis abingdonii (Abingdon island giant tortoise), 210 nucleotides. The record is from RefSeq and is a predicted model, not a curated record. NCBI's taxonomy places the organism in Eukaryota, Metazoa, Chordata, Testudines, Testudinidae.